Molecule: ribosomal RNA, 492 nt
Filed under: uncultured bacterium
Lineage: Bacteria
Description: partial 16S ribosomal RNA
Rfam family: Bacterial small subunit ribosomal RNA
Source: RNAcentral
AGUGAACGCUGGCGGUAGGCCUAACACAUGCAAGUCGAACGGCAGCACAGUAAGAGCUUGCUCUUACGGGUGGCGAGUGGCGGACGGGUGAGGAAUACAUCGGAAUCUACUUUUUCGUGGGGGAUAACGUAGGGAAACUUACGCUAAUACCGCAUACGACCUACGGGUGAAAGCAGGGGAUCUUCGGACCUUGCGCGAUUGAAUGAGCCGAUGUCGGAUUAGCUAGUUGGCGGGGUAAAGGCCCACCAAGGCGACGAUCCGUAGCUGGUCUGAGAGGAGGAUCAGCCACAUUGGAACGGGGACACGGUCCAGACUCCUACGGGAGGCAGCAGUGGGGAAUAUUGGACAAUGGGCGCAAGCCUGAUCCAGCCAUACCGCGUGGGUGAAGAAGGCCUUCGGGUUGUAAAGCCCUUUUGUUGGGAAAGAAAAGCAGCAGGUUAAUACCCCGCUGUUCUGACGGUACCCAAAGAAUAAGCACCGGCUAACUUCGUG